This 1186-nucleotide long non-coding RNA is filed under the name Pan troglodytes (chimpanzee). RNAcentral describes it as "long non-coding RNA NONPTRT008886". The record is from RNAcentral. Lineage: Eukaryota; Metazoa; Chordata; Mammalia; Primates; Hominidae.
CUGUUCUAACACGUGCCAUUUGGGAUCCCUUGGAAUCUUCAUGUACGGAACUGGUUGCUGCCUCGUUGAGUCGGUGGGGACAGAAUAGCUCCUGGUUGACAGCAUGGGUUGUGCAGAAGGACGGAUCCUGCAGACAUCAAUAUCUGGCUUUGAGUGGCACAAAGAAAUAAAGGAACGUGGAUUCAGACCUCACUGGGAUGCUUGGCAAUUCUAAUUCUACCCCAGACUGCAAAUGGACACACAACUGUUGUGACUUUUGUUGAAGAGGAGAAGGAUGGGUGAGCAUGUGACGUUGGGAAAUUGUAUUUUCUUCUUCGAGUUCUUCUGUUUCUGAAUAUUUAAUCCUACUGUUCUCUUCUUUAGUGAAGGUCUCUUUAGUCAAUAAUCUCUUUGCUGAAAUUGCUUCGGGCAGCACAGAAGCUGGAUUCAGAAGCACACAGGUCUGGGGAUGCAGGCUUCGGCCAGCCUGAUGCAAGGAAAGACUGCCAUCUCGUGGUCAGCUCAAUCCUGGCACCUUGGUGAGGGUCCAGGCUGCAGAAAACCAGGCUUGGGGAGGAAAUGGUGCUGCAAACUGGAUUUCUGCCGGACAGUGUGGAUGCCCUUAGAAAACACCCAGAAAAGAGCUGAGUGCCCCCCAAGGUAGGCUUCAGUGAAUCCUCUGCAGGUGUGUUGUCAUCCCUUGAGCCAAACACAUGCUUCACACACACACUGCAGGCUGUGUGAAAAUGAGGUAGAAAUGUGGGGAAAACAUAAUCCCAUGGAGAGAACAAAGAGCUGAACACGUAAAUGCCUCCGGCGUGCCUGGCAGAGAGAACACUCAGGCUGAGAGAAGGGACAGUGACUUGUACCAAAGGUAGGCAAGUAGCCUUUGGGGGGGUCUCAAUCAGCAGGGCAUCUGGUCAACCCCUCAGACAAAGUCAGGUCUGAGCAGGCAAGAUCCAUGGAUCUGAUUUAUUAAUAUUUUUACAAUUAAAUAGAAUCUGAUUGUAAAACUGUUACAUGUGUUGUAAGAAAAAAAGAAAAAACGAACGAUAUAGAAAUGUACAAAGAAGGAAAUAAAAGACUGGAAGCGUCCUCACCUUAGGGACCCAUGAUUAACGCUUAGGUGGCCAAUCUUCCAGACGUCUUGCUACGAAUAUAUUCAAACGGAAAUAAAAAUGUACUUUUACACAAGUGCAAUCAGACC